Octopus sinensis (East Asian common octopus) is the source of this 365-nucleotide long non-coding RNA. RefSeq lists it as uncharacterized. The record is from RefSeq and is a predicted model, not a curated record. Lineage: Eukaryota; Metazoa; Mollusca; Cephalopoda; Octopoda; Octopodidae. The transcript has 3 exons.
UGGAUAUUGCAGCUCAACAACGCGCUCUUUUUAACUUGGAUCCAAUGAUCAGGAAGUUAACUUCUUACACUGAUAUGAAAUAUAUUGGGAUUAAGGAUUGUACAAUAGACGAGAAAAGAAGUCAUUUUUUUCAAGACUGUCAAGCUGGAAACGUUUCAUUGGUAUUUACAUGCUACGGGAUAACAAUAACAUUUUUGGAAGAUCAACAAAAUAGAAACCUCUAUUUCAUAAAAUUUGCUCAUUUUGAUCAACUAACAAACAAAGUAUCCUUCUAAUGUCAAUUUUUUAGAUGAAUCUGAAAUCUCGUUGCAUUUUUAAUGGAGUUAGCGUCAUAUGUAUUGCAAGCAUUAAUGUUGAUAAUCUUA